GCGGAAGUGGCGGAAUUGGUAUACGCGCACGUUUGAGGGGCGUGUCCGCAAGGGUGGGGGUUCGAGUCCCCCCUUCCGCACCA
This 83-nucleotide transfer RNA is filed under the name Chloroflexota bacterium. Its description in RNAcentral is "Chloroflexi bacterium (freshwater metagenome) tRNA-Leu". It matches the Rfam family "tRNA". From Rfam's summary of the family: Transfer RNA (tRNA) molecules are approximately 80 nucleotides in length. Their secondary structure includes four short double-helical elements and three loops (D, anti-codon, and T loops). Lineage: Bacteria; Bacillati; Chloroflexota. The record is from RNAcentral.